AUUGAACGCUGGCGGCAUGCUUUACACAUGCAAGUCGGACGGCAGCACAGAGAAGCUUGCUUCUUGGGUGGCGAGUGGCGAACGGGUGAGUAAUAUAUCGGAACGUACCGAGUAAUGGGGGAUAACUAAUCGAAAGAUUAGCUAAUACCGCAUAUUCUCUGAGGAAAGCAGGGGACCUUCGGGCCUUGCGUUAUUCGAGCGGCCGAUAUCUGAUUAGCUAGUUGGUGGGGUAAAGGCCUACCAAGGCGACGAUCAGUAGCGGGUCUGAGAGGAUGAUCCGCCACACUGGGACUGAGACACGGCCCAGACUCCUACGGGAGGCAGCAGUGGGGAAUUUUGGACAAUGGGCGCAAGCCUGAUCCAGCCAUGCCGCGUGUCUGAAGAGGGCCUUCGGGUUGUAAAGGACUUUUGUCAGGGAAGAAAAGGCUGUUGCUAAUACCGACAGCUGAUGACGGUACCUGAAGAAUAAGCACCGGCUAACUACGUG
Molecule: ribosomal RNA, 487 nt
Filed under: uncultured bacterium
Lineage: Bacteria
Description: partial 16S ribosomal RNA
Rfam family: Bacterial small subunit ribosomal RNA
Source: RNAcentral